AAAAAAGCUGCUGAUACAAGCCUCUUAAGUGAAACGGAGUGCUGAAAUGGUGACCAUAUGCUACCUUGAGGGCUCAAGAAUGUUUUGAUGCAUAGAGACACUAAUCUAUGUUAGAACUUUUAUGUUUUGGUUGAACUUUUAUGUUAGAACUUUUAUGUUUUGGUUGAACUAAUCAAUGUACUCACUAGCUAAUGUUAUUUUGUUUCAUGACAAUUUUAGCUAAAAGGAUCUUGUUUGACUUAUGUA
Arachis duranensis is the source of this 246-nucleotide long non-coding RNA. RefSeq lists it as uncharacterized. NCBI's taxonomy places the organism in Eukaryota, Viridiplantae, Streptophyta, Magnoliopsida, Fabales, Fabaceae. The record is from RefSeq and is a predicted model, not a curated record. The transcript has 2 exons.